RNAcentral lists this ribosomal RNA (253 nucleotides) under uncultured bacterium. RNAcentral's name for it is "partial 16S ribosomal RNA". It matches the Rfam family "Bacterial small subunit ribosomal RNA", at positions 524 to 776 of the family's 1533-position model. The record is from RNAcentral.
GACAGAGGGUGCAAACGUUGUUCGGAAUUACUGGGCGUAAAGCGAGUGUAGGCGGUUUGGAAAGUCGGAUGUGAAAGCCCCGGGCUCAACCCGGGAAGUGCACUCGAUACUCCCAAGCUAGAGUAUCGGAGAGGUUGGUGGAAUUCUCGGUGUAGAGGUGAAAUUCGUAGAUAUCGAGAGGAACACCGGUGGCGAAGGCGGCCAACUGGACGAAUACUGACGCUGAGACUCGAAAGUGUGGGGAGCGAACAGG